Molecule: ribosomal RNA, 253 nt
Filed under: uncultured bacterium
Lineage: Bacteria
Description: partial 16S ribosomal RNA
Rfam family: Archaeal small subunit ribosomal RNA
Source: RNAcentral
UACCCGCAGCACAAGUGGUGGUCAUUAUUAUUGGGCCUAAAGCGUCCGUAGCUGGCUUGUUAGAUGCCUGGGUAAAUCGAUGCGCUCAACGCAUCGAACUCCGGGUAGACCGGCAAGCUUGGGACCGGGAGAGGCGUGAGCUACUCGAGGGGUAGGGGUAAAAUCCUGUAAUCCUUCGGGGAGGACCAGUGGCGAAGGCGUCACGCUAGAACGGCUCCGACAGUGAGGGACGAAGCCCUGGGGCGCAAACAGG